Tigriopus californicus is the source of this 532-nucleotide long non-coding RNA. RefSeq lists it as uncharacterized. The transcript is spliced from 2 exons. NCBI's taxonomy places the organism in Eukaryota, Metazoa, Arthropoda, Copepoda, Harpacticoida, Harpacticidae. The record is from RefSeq and is a predicted model, not a curated record.
GAGAGGCAAUCUUAUUGCGAACGAAUAUGCUCUUUUAUUGUCAAUGUGUUGGUAGGGCUAUCUCAAUUUGCAACGACCUUGCUAUUUUUAGUCGGAUGGUGUUGGAGCAUCGGCUGGGGCGUGACCAUGAUCCAAUUAGCACAUUGGAAUGAACACGACCAACGGAACAAACGCUCAAAUAAUCAAUGCACUCAACCUACCCUCGGUUUUGAAAUCAAAGGUGAUAUUAACCGUAUCGCCACGCUUGACAAUGCAAGGGGGUCCUGUAGAACCAUCGCAACGAAAUCGGGAGAUCCAUCCCGGACGACUGCUUUCUCGGCGACGGCAUCCCUCGAUGUCCAAUCCCACCACUCGGUUAGCUCCGGCUAAUCCAUCCAGUAUGAGACCGAUAUCAAUUGACCAGGGUGAAAUCUAAAAAGGUUUGAUUCCCAUACCUUGACAUUCCUCCCAACAAACUUUGGCAAAUGCACCUCCACAUGCAAUAGUCAAGAGCCCGAUACAUAUGAGAAAUAGAUAGCUCUUUGUUAAUGAA